GAACGGGACAACGGGGCACUCUGUGAGUAGCAGUGGCGUACGGCGUGAGUAACACGUGACUACCUACCCUCGAGUGGGGGAUAACCCCNGGGAAACCGGGGCUAAUACCGCAUAACAUCGCAAGAUCAAAGGAGCAAUUCGCUUGAGGAGGGGGUCGCGGCUGAUUAGCUAGUUGGUGGGGUAACGGCCCACCAAGGCGAUGAUCGGUAGCCGGCCUGAGAGGGCGCACGGCCACACUGGAACUGAAACACGGUCCAGACUCCUACGGGAGGCAGCAGUGGGGAAUUUUGCGCAAUGGGGGAAACCCUGACGCAGCAACGCCGCGUGGAGGAUGAAGUCCCUUGGGACGUAAACUCCUUUCGACCCGGACGAUAAUGACGGUACGGGUGGAAGAAGCACCGGCUAACUUCGUGCCAGCAGCCGCGGUAAU
RNAcentral lists this ribosomal RNA (430 nucleotides) under uncultured bacterium. Its description in RNAcentral is "bacterial SSU rRNA". It matches the Rfam family "Bacterial small subunit ribosomal RNA", at positions 64 to 524 of the family's 1533-position model. The record is from RNAcentral.